AUGAAGCCGGAAUUGCUAGUAAUGGCAGGUCAGCAUACUGCCGUGAAUACGUUCCCGGGCCUUGUACACACCGCCCGUCACACCAUGAGAGUUGGGGAUACCCAAAGCCCGUGAGCCAACUUAUAGAGGCAGCGGUCUAAGGUAGAAUCAAUGAUUGGGGUGAAGUCGUAACAAGGUAGC
This 180-nucleotide ribosomal RNA is filed under the name uncultured bacterium. Its description in RNAcentral is "partial 16S ribosomal RNA". It matches the Rfam family "Bacterial small subunit ribosomal RNA", at positions 1320 to 1500 of the family's 1533-position model. The record is from RNAcentral.